UACGUAGGGAGCAAGCGUUGUUCGGAUUUACUGGGCGUAAAGGGCGCGUAGGCGGCAAUUCAAGUCACUUGUGAAAUCUCCGGGCUUAACUCGGAACGGUCAAGUGAUACUGCUUUGCUAGAGUGCGGAAGGGGCAAUCGGAAUUCUCGGUGUAGCGGUGAAAUGCGUAGAUAUCGAGAGGAACACCUGAGGUGAAGACGGGUUGCUGGGCCGACACUGACGCUGACAGCGCGAAAGCCAGGGGAGCGAACAGG
RNAcentral lists this ribosomal RNA (254 nucleotides) under uncultured bacterium. Its description in RNAcentral is "partial 16S ribosomal RNA". It matches the Rfam family "Bacterial small subunit ribosomal RNA", at positions 524 to 776 of the family's 1533-position model. The record is from RNAcentral.